GAGUUUGAUCGUGGCUCAGAUUGAACGCUGGCGGCAUGCCUUACACAUGCAAGUCGAACGGUAACAGGUCUUCGGAUGCUGACGAGUGGCGAACGGGUGAGUAAUACAUCGGAACGUGCCCGAUCGUGGGGGGAUAACGAAGCGAAAGCUUUGCUAAUACCGCAUACGAUCUACGGAUGAAAGCAGGGGACCGCAAGGCCUUGCGCGAACGGAGCGGCCGAUGGCAGAUUAGGUAGUUGGUGGGAUAAAAGCUUACCAAGCCGACGAUCUGUAGCUGGUCUGAGAGGACGACCAGCCACACUGGGACUGAGACACGGCCCAGACUCCUACGGGAGGCAGCAGUGGGGAAUUUUGGACAAUGGGCGAAAGCCUGAUCCAGCCAUGCCGCGUGCAGGAUGAAGGCC
This 404-nucleotide ribosomal RNA is filed under the name uncultured microorganism. RNAcentral's name for it is "bacterial SSU rRNA". It matches the Rfam family "Bacterial small subunit ribosomal RNA", at positions 9 to 416 of the family's 1533-position model. The record is from RNAcentral.